CACACACACACACAUAUACACACAUAUACAUACAUACAUACAUACAUACAUACAUAUAAUAUAUAUAUUAAAUCAUAUAUUAUCAUACACACACACACACACACACACACCCUAAGGCAACAGUGUUUUUCAAAAUGUAUUUAUUGGUCAUAUACAAAAUAAAGUAAGCUGUAUAUCAACAAACAUACAGUAUAUACAUCAAUAAAUUAAAAGACGCCCCGGACUGACUGAUACAAUUAAUUUCAUCAUUAAUAUACCAAUACAUUAUUUAUCUACAAAUUCCAAAAAGUACAAUAACUUAGUUGAUAAAUACUUACAAUUAAAUGGACUUUUACUGUAUGUAUAAUUCCCAUACAAAGUACUGUGACAAUUCAUUACACCCCAUACAGAAAAACAGAACAGAUUCUUUUCAUAGACAAAAAAAAGAUGAUACUUUCCAUGUUUAUUACCUCUCAAUUUAUAGCUUGAGUACUUUUUUUUUGGGGGGGGGGGCAACCCAAAAUACAUCACUCCAAUGAUGAGGUCUGUCAUGUGGACAUAGCAGUUUGAGUGAUGGAGAGAACAGGGGAGACAAUCAGGAAAAAAUGAGAACAAACUAAAAAAAGAAAACACAAAUGGUCUUUGAAAGGGGACCAAAAAAUGCUCAGAAUUGCUGCAUACAAAUUGAUUUUGCAUUAAAUGAUACAUUUCUUUUUGCUUCAUACAGGAGUGAGCAAGUCAACAAGCACCAAAAGCUGAAAGAAGCACAACAAGAGUGCCAUCAAUAUACAAAUGUAUAAAAUGUCCGACAGUAUGUGGGGAUCCUCGUUUUAUUGAUUUAUGAGUCAUGAAUCUGGCAGAGAAGUCACGCGGCGUGAUAAGCAAGUCCCAAACACCAAUGGCAACGAUGUUAACAGUUACAAUAGCAGUGUGAUAAGAGGUUAAUGAUUUAAACUGCCCAUGGCGGUCAAAUACAGGGAGAAAUCUGGGUUUCUUGGUUAAACCUUAACAAGGGACGAGAGACGUGAAGAAUUUGAGACUCAUUUGUCUUUCAGAAGAAAUUAAACCUUUCAAUGCUUCUCCCAAGAGGCCUAAAGUGAAAAGCAACUGGGAACGCAACAGAGCAGGCAAGAACAAAUAGAAGUCAUUGGGUACGAUGUAUUAAUGUAACUUGGCGUAGUUAACGCACUGCACUUACACUCCACAGGAGAAGAAGUAGGACAGUGUUGCAUUUUUGCACAGCAACAGAAGCGGACACCUGAGACCAGAGCGAGCUCUCAGUCAGCCUGCUGCUUCCUACUGAUCUGACAAAAGAGCCGGUUGUGGCUCGGGGUCAAAUGGGUGCGAGUUGGUGGUUACACACACAUUGUUCUCAGCAAGGUCAUCUCAAGCGAGUGUCUGAGCCAAUUCUGGAAGCUGUUCCCAGGAUUGUCUCAGUUUGCUUUUAAUAUCCACUGUGUUCGGCUCCUGGGAGGUAGCACUAUUUUUGAAAGGGGAAAAACGAAUUGUAAGUGUAUUUUCUAUUUAAAACCACCACAAAAGAAGCCGUAUUACUGUACCAGAGAAUGUUCCAGAAACAGUUUUGAGGUAAAUGUUAAUUGUUGCAUUGUUUAAUGUUGAUUGUUGCAUUAGCUUAGUUGAUUAAAUCGUCAAUCGCUGCUGAAGAAGAAUCCAGCUUUGUCUGACCACCUCCAAAAACCUAAAACCAAGCUGGUCAAGCUUGUAGACCUUCUUUCCCAGAUGGCAAGUUAUUUUCUAUCUUCCUUAUCACUUGUCUAUGCUGAUCAAUAGAUACUUGAGAUUUUCUACCUGCCUUACUGUUUAUUUUGUUAAAAAAUUAUUUGUCUACGAUGUAGCAUUAGUGGCAGGAAUUCAGAAACAGUUUCCUUCCACCAGCUGGCAAAGACGGUCUACCAGCUUGAGCAGCUCGGUCUGUGUUUUGGCAUCUGGUAGCUGGAUGUUUCAGCAGGAAUGUGAUAUUUAUACAUGCAAAUAAAGCGCCUUGAGAAAAAUUAGACAAGCUGUAGCAUUCACAUAAAUGGAAAAAUGGAAACAGUCUCUCACUGUUUGUGGUUUUUAAAAAAAAAAAGAAAAGAAAAAAAAGAAACCCUAUCUUCCCUACCGCCCACAUUUGCAUAUAAUUCAUAUGUUCACUUCUACACCAAGUCACCACGACGACGACGACGACGACGACAAUGACGUACGUCAACGAGCCGAGCCACCCCGUCCUCCUCUGCCGCACGACAGGAAGAGGAGGAGUGCGAGUCUAAAAAGUAUUAGGCAGUGGCGCUACCUGGAGUACAAGCACUUCCAUGAGGAGCACGGCAUUGUUUUCGCUAAUGCAGGCUACUGAUAGUAGCUUUAAAGAUCGGAGCACUCGCAUGCUGUCUGUAUCUGCGGAUUGUCACUCAACACUGCUCAGGCUUACGAAUACACCCCGGAUUCAAUUCAUGUGCUGAAAAUCAAGCCCUUUCUGAGAUGAAUCAGUUGUGAUGGAGUUCAGGACCCCGACCCUGAUCUCUAGAGACAGUGUACCAUGAUGCACAUAGUCAGGGCUGGAAAAACUAAAUAAAGAAUGAAACUAUUUUGGCUGG
Molecule: long non-coding RNA, 2573 nt
Organism: Ictalurus punctatus (channel catfish)
Lineage: Eukaryota; Metazoa; Chordata; Actinopteri; Siluriformes; Ictaluridae
Exons: 2
Source: RefSeq, a predicted model, not a curated record